GGACUAUAGCUCAGUGGUAGAGCAUGGGCUUUGUGUUCCAAAGAUCCCAGGUUCAAUCCCCAGCAUUUCCA
Non-coding RNA from Podarcis lilfordi (Lilford's wall lizard), 71 nucleotides. Lineage: Eukaryota; Metazoa; Chordata; Lepidosauria; Squamata; Lacertidae. The record is from the annotation of a GenBank genome assembly.